ACUCCUGCGGGAGGCAGCAGUGGGGAAUUUUGGACAAUGGGCGAAAGCCUGAUCCAGCCAUGCCGCGUGCAGGAUGAAGGCCUUCGGGUUGUAAACUGCUUUUGUACGGAACGAAACGGCCUUUUCUAAUAAAGAGGGCUAAUGACGGUACCGUAAGAAUAAGCACCGGCUAACUACGUGCCAGCAGCCGCGGUAAUACGUAGGGUGCAAGCGUUAAUCGGAAUUACUGGGCGUAAAGCGUGCGCAGGCGGUUAUGUAAGACAGUUGUGAAAUCCCCGGGCUCAACCUGGGAACUGCAUCUGUGACUGCAUAGCUAGAGUACGGUAGAGGGGGAUGGAAUUCCGCGUGUAGCAGUGAAAUGCGUAGAUAUGCGGAGGAACACCGAUGGCGAAGGCAAUCCCCUGGACCUGUACUGACGCUCAUGCACGAAAGCGUGGGGAGCAAACAGGAUUAGAAACCCUGGUAGUCCCAU
This 472-nucleotide ribosomal RNA is filed under the name uncultured organism. RNAcentral's name for it is "partial 16S ribosomal RNA". It matches the Rfam family "Bacterial small subunit ribosomal RNA", at positions 335 to 798 of the family's 1533-position model. The record is from RNAcentral.